This 658-nucleotide ribosomal RNA is filed under the name uncultured fungus. RNAcentral's name for it is "eukaryotic LSU rRNA". It matches the Rfam family "Eukaryotic large subunit ribosomal RNA", at positions 24 to 664 of the family's 3401-position model. The record is from RNAcentral. Lineage: Eukaryota; Fungi.
CCCGCUGAACUUAAGCAUAUCAAUAAGCGGAGGAAAAGAAACUAACAAGGAUUCCCCUAGUAACUGCGAGUGAAGCGGGAAAAGCUCAAAUUUAAAAUCUGGUGGUCUCUGGCCAUCCGAGUUGUAAUUUAGAGAAGCGUCUUCCGCGCCGGGCCGUGCACAAGUCUCCUGGAAUGGAGCGUCAUAGAGGGUGAGAAUCCCGUCUUUGGCACGGACGCCUGUGCUUCUGUGAUGCGCUCUCGAAGAGUCGAGUUGUUUGGGAAUGCAGCUCAAAAUGGGUGGUGAACUCCAUCUAAAGCUAAAUAUUGGCGAGAGACCGAUAGCGAACAAGUACCGUGAGGGAAAGAUGAAAAGCACUUUGGAAAGAGAGUUAAACAGUACGUGAAAUUGCUGAAAGGGAAACGCUUGAAGUCAGUCAUGUCUGCCAGGACUCAGCCUUGCUUCUGCUUGGUGUACUUUCUGGUUUGAUGGGCCAACAUCGAUUUUGACCGUUGGAGAAAGGCUUUGGGAAUGUGGCACCUUUGGGUGUGUUAUAGCCCUUUGUUGUAUACAGCGGUUGGGAUCGAGGACUGCAGCACGCCUUCACGGCCGGGGUUCGCCCACGUACGUGCUUAGGAUGUUGGCAUAAUGGCUUUAAGCGACCCGUCUUGAAACACGG